Aegilops tauschii subsp. strangulata is the source of this 2594-nucleotide long non-coding RNA. RefSeq lists it as uncharacterized. Lineage: Eukaryota; Viridiplantae; Streptophyta; Magnoliopsida; Poales; Poaceae. The record is from RefSeq and is a predicted model, not a curated record.
UCCUCGCGCCAGGACGUCGGCAACCGAAGCUCCGCCGCGACCAAACCACAUCUCCGGCCAUCUCAGGUAGUACCGCGGCGCUCCUCUCACAUCUUCGCCAGAGCCUUGCCACGCGCCGCCGCUACCCUCGUCGGUUACCAGGUAUUAACUAACCCUUCCUCUUAUAUCUGUAUUUAGGUUAUGAGAGCUUCCGUAGUUCGUCGGAGUUCAUCUCCAUUGCUCUGCUAUCUGCCUUGUAAAUCUUCCUUUUUCCCAAUACAUUCAUAGAAGAAUUCGGCUUCGCCUUUGAGAUUCAUCCCCUCUAUAGAUGUUCUGCUUUGUCAAUAUAGCUCAUGAACUAGCAAGCAACCUAUGCCGCCCUAGUCUUUUUAGCUAGGUAAUUUUUCUUCUUUUUCAAACUAUUCGUAGAUCUGAAAUCUUUUACACUUGUAAUGAAAUAUGUUGUUCCACACUUAGUAAUAGCUUCAAUAAAUUUCUACUUAGAUGACCCGCCAUCAUGUUGCUGGCUCAUACUUCCAUAAUUUGACCUGCCGUAUGUUAACGGCCUGAUAAUCACCUCACGCCCAUAGUUAGGGCGGCUCAUAACUUCUUAAUAACUUACCAUAACACGUUGUCGUCUUAUAGCCAUAACCGGUCCAUUACUGCUAAAAUAUCAUGUAAUCAUUUAGGUGGCUUAUCAUUUCAAUUUUAACCCGCCAUACUCUUAUUCCUUGUCCGUAGUUUUUAACCCGGCCCAUCAUGUCUAAGGCUCCCACUUCUUGUGACUGGGUAGCCUCCCAAGUCUCAGAGCUCAUGCUCACAGAGUAUGUGGACAUGGGGGUUUUGCCGGCUAAAAAAGCUAUCAACUGGCGGGUUCCUGGUCCUGAGACUAUUCCUCAACAAGGCUAGCGUAGAUACAACAACAGUAAAUUUAAAUGACUUUAUUCACAGGCUACCAAAAAAAUAAUCAGUUGUCAGUUAUAGACGUGUGGUGCCACAUGAUAACUGAGCGCUUAUAAAUGCCUGAAUAUUACACGCCCAAUAAACCAUAUAAUGAUCAUUAGCCUGACCUCUCACACAUCAUUCUUUUAUAAAUAUAGAACAUUUCCAUAACAUGUUAAAAAUAUUAACCAAUUAGUUUCAAAAGGUACCUACAUUCUCAGUUCAUGCAAGAAUAUCCAAUAUACAUCCAAAUUCUGGGAAUAUGUAUCAAAAAGUAAAAUGUUGCGGCAAAUCAAAUACACUACGAUGGUACCUAUUCCCAAAUAUAAAUUCAGCCAAACCAACGCCAAGACAACCCACUAAAUUCACCAAUAUGAGACGCGCAUCCGUUUUUUCAGAUCAGCUAAGGGCGAGUUUGGUUGCCUGCAUCGAGGCCAACCAGGCCCGCGUGGUGCAGCAUCUUUUCGGGUCUCGGUUGUUUGGUUCCCCGCAUACACUGUUCAGCCUGCAUAGCACGGUUCUUAAAGCAUUUCUGGGCCUGGCCCGUUGGGAACGGCCGAAUCGGCAGUUUUCCGAGAGCCAGGCCCGAGCGAGUUAAUCCCUCUCUCUCCCUAAUCCUCAGUCCCCUCGUCCGCCGCUAAAAUCUUAUCCCCUCGUCACCUUCCUCCUCUCACCCGCGGCGCACCGGUCCGGGCACGGAGCUUGGUGCGGCCACGGCAGCGAGCUGGGCGCCGGUUGACGGCGGAAGCGCGAGCCGGUGUGGGGCGGCCAUGGCAGCAAGCGGGCGCGGUGCGGUCACGACAGCGAGCGGGCGCGGCGCGACCACAGGAGGGAGCCGGGCAAGGGCACGGCCAGGGCAGUGAGCUUGGCGCGGCCACGGCAACGAGCUGGGCGCGGCGCGGCGGACGACGGAGGCUCGGGCCGGUGCGUCGCGGGCGCGGCCUCGGCCAGGGAAGGGAGCUUGGCGCGGCCACGACAGGGAGCGGGCACGGCCCGACCAUGAUAGCGAGCUGGACGCGGCACGGCUACGGCGGGAACCUGCUCGCGGAGCGGCCAAGAGCAGGGCAGCGGCGGGCCGGCGCGGCUUGGCGCGAGCUGGGGCGGCACGGGCGAGUGCAGCGAGGACUGACGCGGACGAGCUCGCCGGCCGCAGCUUGAGGCUCCUGCCCGUGUGUGUACGAGUACCUGCGCGACCUGUUUAGGUAUUCGAUGGCCAGUACAAGCCUACAAGCGCCGGCGUCGGGCGAGCUUGUACUUCUGAAUUUUACACGAUGAGUACUUCAUGCCGACCAUCACACUCAGCUUCGAGGGCGGGGCGAGCCUGGAGCUCAGCUUCGUGCCGCGGGAUGCCGAGCUUGGCGGCGGCGAUGGCGGCCCAUGGGUGGACACCGUCGAACACAGACGGCGUCAGCGGGGUGGCGGCGCAGGAGGUCGGCGAAGAGCGGCGCGAGGAGGUUGACGGGGGCGGCGAACGGGCUCCGUGGGCGACGCGAGGAGCAGAGGAAGCUCCGGCGCACUCAACGUGUUUGACGAGAUGAGAAGCCAAACCUGGUGGCUGUUAAGUUUUGUUGUUAACUCCUAAUCAUAUGCAUGUAUGCAACCAAACGCCGGGUCAAAAUUGCAUCUCAAUGACAAGACCUCCUAAUGCAGGCAACCAAUCAAGUUGACAUCUA